UGCGGGGUUGCCGGAGUGGUCAAACGGGUUAGGCUUAGGACCUAAUGGCUUAGUGCCUGCGCGAGUUCGAAACUCGUACCCCGCAU
This 86-nucleotide transfer RNA is filed under the name uncultured archaeon. RNAcentral describes it as "tRNA-Leu(tag)". It matches the Rfam family "tRNA". Rfam says of the family: Transfer RNA (tRNA) molecules are approximately 80 nucleotides in length. Their secondary structure includes four short double-helical elements and three loops (D, anti-codon, and T loops). The record is from RNAcentral.